GACGAACGCUGGCGGCGUGCCUAAUACAUGCAAGUAGAACGCUGAAGGAGGAGCUUGCUUCUCUGGAUGAGUUGCGAACGGGUGAGUAACGCGUAGGUAACCUGCCUGGUAGCGGGGGAUAACUAUUGGAAACGAUAGCUAAUACCGCAUAACAGUAGAUGUUGCAUGACAUUUGCUUAAAAGGUGCAAUUGCAUCACUACCAGAUGGACCUGCGUUGUAUUAGCUAGUUGGUGGGGUAACGGCUCACCAAGGCGACGAUACAUAGCCGACCUGAGAGGGUGAUCGGCCACACUGGGACUGAGACACGGCCCAGACUCCUACGGGAGGCAGCAGUAGGGAAUCUUCGGCAAUGGACGGAAGUCUGACCGAGCAACGCCGCGUGAGUGAAGAAGGUUUUCGGAUCGUAAAGCUCUGUUGUAAGAGAAGAACGAGUGUGAGAGUGGAAAGUUCACACUGUGACGGUAUCUACCAG
This 473-nucleotide ribosomal RNA is filed under the name Streptococcus mitis. Its description in RNAcentral is "bacterial SSU rRNA". It matches the Rfam family "Bacterial small subunit ribosomal RNA", at positions 28 to 486 of the family's 1533-position model. Lineage: Bacteria; Bacillati; Bacillota; Bacilli; Lactobacillales; Streptococcaceae. The record is from RNAcentral.